ACAGGGAUUGCCCUAGUAACGGCGAGUGAAGCGGCAACAGCUCAAAUUUGAAAUCUGGCGUCUUCGGCGUCCGAGUUGUAAUUUGCAGAGGGCGCUUUGGCAUUGGCAGCGGUCCAAGUUCCUUGGAACAGGACGUCACAGAGGGUGAGAAUCCCGUACGUGGUCGCUAGCCUUUACCGUGUAAAGCCCCUUCGACGAGUCGAGUUGUUUGGGAAUGCAGCUCUAAAUGGGAGGUAAAUUUCUUCUAAAGCUAAAUACUGGCCAGAGACCGAUAGCGCACAAGUAGAGUGAUCGAAAGAUGAAAAGCACUUUGGAAAGAGAGUUAAAAAGCACGUGAAAUUGUUGAAAGGGAAGCGCUUGCAGCCAGACUUGCCUGUAGUUGCUCAUCCGGGUUUUUACCCGGUGCACUCUUCUAUAGGCAGGCCAGCAUCAGUUUGGGCGGUUGGAUAAAGGUCUCUGUCAUGUACCUCCUUUCGGGGAGAACUUAUAGGGGAGACGACAUGCAACCAGCCUGGACUGAGGUCCGCGCAUCUGCUAGGAUGCUGGCGUAAUGGCUGUAAGCGGCCCGUCUUGAAACACGGACCAAGGAGUCUAACAUCUAUGCGAGUGUUUGGGUGUCAAGCCCGAACGCGUAAUGAAAGUGAACGGAGGUGGGAACCUUUCGGGGUGCACCAUCGACCGAUCCUGAUGUCUUCGGAUGGAUUUGAGUAAGAGCAUAGCUGUUGGGACCCGAAAGAUGGUGAACUAUGCUUGAAUAGGGUGAAGCCAGAGGAAACUCUGGUGGAGGCUCGCAGCGGUUCUGACGUGCAAAUCGAUCGUCAAAUUUGGGCAUAGGGGCGAAAGACUAAUCGAGCAUCUUUGGC
RNAcentral lists this ribosomal RNA (863 nucleotides) under Stagonosporopsis sp. RNAcentral describes it as "partial large subunit ribosomal RNA". It matches the Rfam family "Eukaryotic large subunit ribosomal RNA", at positions 68 to 951 of the family's 3401-position model. The record is from RNAcentral. Lineage: Eukaryota; Fungi; Ascomycota; Dothideomycetes; Pleosporales; Didymellaceae.